GAAGGGUCCAGAAGCCACGGGAACGAACGGGAAGCAAUUCGGGCUCGGGGGCUGGGCGCCCGCCCACCCCCCUUGGGCGCCCGCCCUGGCCAGGAAGCCAAUCAGGACUCUGCUUCGGGACUACGCUCCACCGACCUAAAGGAUCAAUCUAAACCAUACAAUCUAUGUCGGUUUGAUCCAAUGGCUCACGUUCACUUGAAGGGACUAUAAAACCAGACCCCCUGGCCCCUGGAGGAGAGGAGGAGAAAUCAUUAUUCAGAGGUAGCCAUCAAAGUUAGGGUUUAGAGCUUCUCUCCCAC
RNAcentral lists this long non-coding RNA (299 nucleotides) under Sorghum bicolor (sorghum). RNAcentral's name for it is "long non-coding RNA (SBIC_LNC015984)". Lineage: Eukaryota; Viridiplantae; Streptophyta; Magnoliopsida; Poales; Poaceae. The record is from RNAcentral.